AUUGAACGCUGGCGGCAUGCUUUACACAUGCAAGUCGAACGGUAACAGGCCUUCGGGUGCUGACGAGUGGCGAACGGGUGAGUAAUGCAUCGGAACGUGCCCAGAGGUGGGGGAUAACGCAGCGAAAGCUGUGCUAAUACCGCAUGUGAUCUGAGGAUGAAAGCGGGGGACCAGGCAGCAAUGUUUGGCCUCGCGCCUUUGGAGCGGCCGAUGUCAGAUUAGGUAGUUGGAGGGGUAAAGGCCUACCAAGCCGACGAUCUGUAGCUGGUCUGAGAGGACGACCAGCCACACUGGGACUGAGACACGGCCCAGACUCCUACGGGAGGCAGCAGUGGGGAAUUUUGGACAAUGGGCGCAAGCCUGAUCCAGCAAUGCCGCGUGCGGGAAGAAGGCCUUCGGGUUGUAAACCGCUUUUGUACGGAACGAAAAGGCUCUGGCUAAUACCUGGGGCUGAUGACGGUACCGUAAGAAUAAGCACCGGCUAACUACGUG
Molecule: ribosomal RNA, 492 nt
Filed under: uncultured bacterium
Lineage: Bacteria
Description: partial 16S ribosomal RNA
Rfam family: Bacterial small subunit ribosomal RNA
Source: RNAcentral